RNAcentral lists this ribosomal RNA (322 nucleotides) under uncultured eukaryote. RNAcentral's name for it is "partial 18S ribosomal RNA". It matches the Rfam family "Eukaryotic small subunit ribosomal RNA", at positions 1470 to 1796 of the family's 1831-position model. The record is from RNAcentral.
CCCUUAGAUGUUCUGGGCUGCACGCGCGCUACACUGAUGCGUUCAACGAGUCUGCCUUGGCCGAGAGGUCUGGGUAAUCUUGUGAAAGCGCAUCGUGAUGGGGAUAGAUUAUUGCAAUUGUUAGUCUUCAACGAGGAAUUCCUAGUAAGCGCGAGUCAUCAACUCGUGCUGAUUACGUCCCUGCCCUUUGUACACACCGCCCGUCGCUCCUACCGAUCGAAGAGUUAGGUGAAUUGUUUUGAUCGAUAAGAUUUGACUAUGGUCAACUCUCGUUGUGAAAUUCUGUGAAUCUGACUGUUUAGAGGAAGGAAAAGUCGUAACA